Small nucleolar RNA from Syngnathoides biaculeatus (alligator pipefish), 131 nucleotides. RefSeq annotates it as small nucleolar RNA SNORA15. The record is from RefSeq and is a predicted model, not a curated record. The transcript has a single exon. NCBI's taxonomy places the organism in Eukaryota, Metazoa, Chordata, Actinopteri, Syngnathiformes, Syngnathidae.
GCAUGGCCGAAUUCUGGGUUUCUCUUGAAGUGGUCAACUCAGUCAGACACCAUGCAAAAUCAUAAUUUUCACUCACUUUGCAACGAAUGACAACUCGUGUGGCUCAUUCUACUGUCGGAGUGAAUACAUUU